GACGAACGCUGGCGGCGUGCCUAAUACAUGCAAGUCGAGCGGACUUUCCAGAAGCUUGCUUUUUGAAAGUUAGCGGCGGACGGGUGAGUAACACGUGGGCAACCUGCCUGCAAGACGGGGAUAACUCCGGGAAACCAGGGCUAAUACCGGAUAAUAUCUUCCUUCGCAUGAAGGAAGGUUGAAAGGCGGCGCAAGCUGCCGCUUGCAGAUGGGCCCGCGGCGCAUUAGCUCGUUGGUGAGGUAACGGCGCACCAAGGCGACGAUGCGUAGCCGACCAGAGAGGGGGAUCGGCCACACUGGGACUGAGACACGGCCCAGACUCCUACGGGAGGCAGCAGUAGGGAAUCUUCCGCAAUGGACGAAAGUCUGACGGAGCAACGCCGCGUGAGCGAAGAAGGUCUUCGGACCGUAAAGCUCUGUUGUCAGGGAAGAACAAGUACCGUUCGAACAGGGCGGUACCUUGACGGUACCUGACCAGAAAGCCACGGCUAACUACGUG
Molecule: ribosomal RNA, 499 nt
Filed under: uncultured bacterium
Lineage: Bacteria
Description: partial 16S ribosomal RNA
Rfam family: Bacterial small subunit ribosomal RNA
Source: RNAcentral